UCCUGACUGACCGAUAGUGAACCAGUACCGUGAGGGAAAGGCGAAAAGAACCCCGGCGAGGGGAGUGAAAAAGAACCUGAAACCGUGUACGUACAAGCAGUGGGAGCACGCUUAGGCGUGUGACUGCGUACCUUUUGUAUAAUGGGUCAGCGACUUAUAUUCUGUAGCAAGGUUAACCGAAUAGGGGAGCCGAAGGGAAACCGAGUCUUAACUGGGCGUUAAGUUGCAGGGUAUAGACCCGAAACCCGGUGAUCUAGCCAUGGGCAGGUUGAAGGUUGGGUAACACUAACUGGAGGACCGAACCGACUAAUGUUGAAAAAUUAGCGGAUGACUUGUGGCUGGGGGUGAAAGGCCAAUCAAACCGGGAGAUAGCUGGUUCUCCCCGAAAGCUAUUUAGGUAGCGCCUCGUGAAUUCAUCUCCGGGGGUAGAGCACUGUUUCGGCAAGGGGGUCAUCCCGACUUACCAACCCGAUGCAAACUGCGAAUACCGGAGAAUGUUAUCACGGGAGACACACGGCGGGUGCUAACGUCCGUCGUGAAGAGGGAAACAACCCAGACCGCCAGCUAAGGUCCCAAAGUCAUGGUUAAGUGGGAAACGAUGUGGGAAGGCCCAGACAGCCAGGAUGUUGGCUUAGAAGCAGCCAUCAUUUAAAGAAAGCGUAAUAGCUCACUGGUCGAGUCGGCCUGCGCGGAAGAUGUAACGGGGCUAAACCAUGCACCGAAGCUGCGGCAGCGACGCUUAUGCGUUGUUGGGUAGGGGAGCGUUCUGUAAGCCUGUGAAGGUGUGCUGUGAGGUAUGCUGGAGGUAUCAGAAGUGCGAAUGCUGACAUAAGUAACGAUAAAGCGGGUGAAAAGCCCGCUCGCCGGAAGACCAAGGGUUCCUGUCCAACGUUAAUCGGGGCAGGGUGAGUCGACCCCUAAGGCGAGGCCGAAAGGCGUAGUCGAUGGGAAACAGGUUAAUAUUCCUGUACUUGGUGUUACUGCGAAGGGGGGACGGAGAAGGCUAUGUUGGCCGGGCGACGGUUGUCCCGGUUUAAGCGUGUAGGCUGGUUUUCCAGGCAAAUCCGGAAAAUCAAGGCCGAGGCGUGAUGACGAGGCACUACGGUGCUGAAGCAACAAAUGCCCUGCUUCCAGGAAAAGCCUCUAAGCAUCAGGUAACAUCAAAUCGUACCCCAAACCGACACAGGUGGUCAGGUAGAGAAUACCAAGGCGCUUGAGAGAACUCGGGUGAAGGAACUAGGCAAAAUGGUGCCGUAACUUCGGGAGAAGGCACGCUGAUACGUAGGUGAAGCGACUUGCUCGUGGAGCUGAAAUCAGUCGAAGAUACCAGCUGGCUGCAACUGUUUAUUAAAAACACAGCACUGUGCAAACACGAAAGUGGACGUAUACGGUGUGACGCCUGCCCGGUGCCGGAAGGUUAAUUGAUGGGGUUAGCGCAAGCGAAGCUCUUGAUCGAAGCCCCGGUAAACGGCGGCCGUAACUAUAACGGUCCUAAGGUAGCGAAAUUCCUUGUCGGGUAAGUUCCGACCUGCACGAAUGGCGUAAUGAUGGCCAGGCUGUCUCCACCCGAGACUCAGUGAAAUUGAACUCGCUGUGAAGAUGCAGUGUACCCGCGGCAAGACGGAAAGACCCCGUGAACCUUUACUAUAGCUUGACACUGAACAUUGAGCCUUGAUGUGUAGGAUAGGUGGGAGGCUUUGAAGUGUGGACGCCAGUCUGCAUGGAGCCGACCUUGAAAUACCACCCUUUAAUGUUUGAUGUUCUAACGUGGACCCGUGAUCCGGGUUGCGGACAGUGUCUGGUGGGUAGUUUGACUGGGGCGGUCUCCUCCUAAAGAGUAACGGAGGAGCACGAAGGUUGGCUAAUCCUGGUCGGACAUCAGGAGGUUAGUGCAAUGGCAUAAGCCAGCUUGACUGCGAGCGUGACGGCGCGAGCAGGUGCGAAAGCAGGUCAUAGUGAUCCGGUGGUUCUGAAUGGAAGGGCCAUCGCUCAACGGAUAAAAGGUACUCCGGGGAUAACAGGCUGAUACCGCCCAAGAGUUCAUAUCGACGGCGGUGUUUGGCACCUCGAUGUCGGCUCAUCACAUCCUGGGGCUGAAGUAGGUCCCAAGGGUAUGGCUGUUCGCCAUUUAAAGUGGUACGCGAGCUGGGUUUAGAACGUCGUGAGACAGUUCGGUCCCUAUCUGCCGUGGGCGCUGGAGAACUGAGGGGGGCUGCUCCUAGUACGAGAGGACCGGAGUGGACGCAUCACUGGUGUUCGGGUUGUCAUGCCAAUGGCACUGCCCGGUAGCUAAAUGCGGAAGAGAUAAGUGCUGAAAGCAUCUAAGCACGAAACUUGCCCCGAGAUGAGUUCUCCCUGACCCUUUAAGGGUCCUGAAGGAACGUUGAAGACGACGACGUUGAUAGGCCGGGUGUGUAAGCGCAGCGAUGCGUUGAGCUAACCGGUACUAAUGAACCGUGAGGCUUAACCUU
RNAcentral lists this ribosomal RNA (2471 nucleotides) under Escherichia coli. RNAcentral's name for it is "partial 23S ribosomal RNA". It matches the Rfam family "Bacterial large subunit ribosomal RNA", at positions 474 to 2925 of the family's 2925-position model. RNAcentral also lists the same sequence under 3 other names. Lineage: Bacteria; Pseudomonadati; Pseudomonadota; Gammaproteobacteria; Enterobacterales; Enterobacteriaceae. The record is from RNAcentral.